Long non-coding RNA from Cervus elaphus (red deer), 3791 nucleotides. RefSeq lists it as uncharacterized. NCBI's taxonomy places the organism in Eukaryota, Metazoa, Chordata, Mammalia, Artiodactyla, Cervidae. The record is from RefSeq and is a predicted model, not a curated record. The transcript is spliced from 2 exons.
AAAGAGUAGCCUCCACUCACCACAACUCGAGAAAGCCCAAGUGCAGCAACAAAGAAAAUAAAGUUUAAAAAAAAUGAUAUAGAACAGUGUAUUUUAAAUCAAAUAAUAGGCACUGCAGAGAUAUUUGUGUGUGACUGAAUAAAUAUAUGUAUACCUAGGAUGUAAUGAGGACAGGCUGAGGUUAAAAAAGUAGGUAAGGACUAGACCUCACAAACCCUGUUUAAAAAAAACUGGGGGAUGUAAUUUCACAAAGCCUCACUCACAACUGCGUGAGUAAUUGUUUGCUGGGGAUUAAAAAUGGAAGAAGGGAAACCCAGAUUCAUGAGUGCAGUAGAGGUGGAGAAAAUAGACCAUAGAAAUCACUAAAUGUGUGUUAGAGCCAGGUCACUGGGCCGAUCUUACUUCUUCAGCAUCUUAGCAAAGUGAAUGUAUCUGGUUUAUCUUUUUAUCCCUAGAACUACCAUAGCCCCUGAACCCCCAGACCAAGCCUGGAAAGAAGUUAAUCUUUUGAGAAUUUAAUCAAGCCCUUGAGGAAAGUAAUUUCAGAGUUUCUCCUAGGUCUUAUUGAGGAAAUGACCAUCUUAAAUGAAGUCACAAAGAAAAUUUAAAACUGCAGAUUAUUCUACAAGAUAACAGACUUGGUCUUGUAAAAAAAAGUCAAUGCCAUGGAGGAAAAAGGCAGAGAAACAUUCUGGUUGUGUAGUACACUAUAGCAACUUACUCCCAGAGAAUAUCCCUUUUGAAGACAUUUUACCACACAUACAGAAGCACAAACAAGGGAAAAUUUUUUUUUAAAUAUUGUUAUGCUCAAUAAAACCAUUCAACUUAAACUAAAAAAAACUUUUUUUUUUUUUUGUUUUAAGAAGGCUUGCCCCUCUCAUACCUCCUCUGGCAUGAUUGUGAGGGGAUAGCUUCUAUUGUGAGCACUCUACCCCCGGUUCUAGGGGGUGACCAGCAAAGUUGAGUCUAGGUACUAGCAGAGAAGUCUUUGGGAAGCUAAAGAGUGAUUGCUUGGUAGAGAACUCAGAAGGACAUUAAGACAAAACAAAAACUUUUCCCCAGCAUAUACUGAAAAUAACCUUGAGUGGAGCUUCGAGUCUUAAUGGUGGUUUUAUAUAACAUCAGUCAGCACAUAGGUUCUCAAUGAAUGGAGAUUUGUUACCUCACAGAGUAGUCUGUUCUCCUUUUGAAUUCCCCCAAUCGUUAGGAAGUUAUUUCUUUUAACUGAACCAAACAUUUUCCCCAUGUUAUUCCCACCCAUUGUAUGUAGUUUUACCCUCUAGAAACUUGACAAAUAAGGCUAAUUUCUUUCGUUGGAAUUUUAAAAUCUAAUUUGGCAUGGCUGCCUGGACCUCUUUUAACCUGUAGGAGAAAAUGAAACUGUAACAAGAGUUAAAUUUAUUUGAUGCAGUAGACCAAAAAAAAUUAAAAAAUAAAUUUAUUUGAUGCAGUAGACCAAGUUUUCCACGUGAAGGCAAAUUUUGUCCUGGGAUGUGCCAGUCACUAAAGCCUUUUUAAUGAGGCAAUUCAGUCUGUUCCUAUAAACUGCCAGUUUAUUCUCCUGGAUCUUAAAGGAACACUAGCUCCAGGUGGGCAGGCGUCUUCUGGAAUAAUAAUAAUAACCAAAAUAAUUAAAAACCAGAUUACUGCCCUAGUCCCUCCCCCCUCCCGCAUUCCUAAACCAUCUGCAUAGCUUGUAGAGGAGUAUCAAGAUCAUCCUUCUGAGUUCUUGGGUACUUAUCCUUUCACUGGGCUUCCCUGCUGGCUCAAUUGGUAAAGAAUCUGCCUGCAAUGCAAGAGACAGAGGUUCAGUCCCUGGGUCAGGAAGAUCCCCUGGAGAAGGAAAUGGCAACCCACUCCAGUAUUCUUGCCUGAGAAAUCCUAUGGACAGAGGAGCUUGGAGGGCUACAGUCCAUGGGUUCACAAGAGCAGGACAUGACUUAGUGACUAAACUACCACAUACUGAGAUACUUCCAGGUUCUGCAGAAAGGAGUGACUGUCCACUCGCCGACACUCUGCUUUUCUCUGCUCACUGUUCCCUGCGCUCUGGUUUCAGUAGCUAACGUCUCCACAAGUUUUCCUUCUUCUAGAAAUUUACUCUCUCAGGCAUGUAUGACCUCUACCAUUCUCUUCAUGUUGUGGUUUUACGAAUUUUUAUUAUCAUUGUGUUAUGGCCUCUUGAGGGGAAAGAGAUAAAUAUGCAUUAUCAGUCAGCUAAUUUGAAUCAGAAUUGUGGUUAAAGUCAUAUUUUAAUAUAAAUAAAUCAUACUCUAGAGAUUUUUAGCAUAUUAACAAUUCAGUGAUUUUUAGCCUACUCACAAAGUUGUGUAACCAUCCCAACAAUCUAAUUGCAGAACAUUUUCAUCACCCCAGAGAAGCCACAUACCAUUAGCAUUCACCUAUUUCCCCCACUCUCCUGCCAGCCGUAAUCAAUCACUAAUCUACCUUCUGUCCAUAGAUUUGUCAUUAUUGCUGUUUGUAGAGGGGACGGUACAGAUAGGGAGAAAGGUAAGCUGUCGUCUGGAGGGGAGCUUCUAUUUCUGAUCUCUGCUUAUUGGCCAUCACAAAAUUUGAAGUUAAAAAUCCCUGAUUCUUUGAAGAUUAAUUUCAUUCCAAGAAUUUCUAUCCAAUCUCCAAAGGUAUUCACUUACAGUACCCAUAAACAUAGGUAGGUAGGUAGGUAGAUACCUCAUUUAAUCUUAUUUCAUAACUUUAAUCUUAUUUUGGGGGAAUGAGUGACCCUAGUGUGCACACACAUGCACACACACCCAUCUUGUCCUGAGCUGUAUUUCAAAGCCUUCUUGUCUGGAUUGACAGUGAAGGACACCAAGCUUCAAACACUUUCCUCCAAUUCCCUAAUUCAUAGGUUUUUCAGAUCAGGCUGCCAUACCUGUAUCUUGCUAGUUUUAGGUAAGAUAUCCAAAUGCUAGGUGACAGUAAAGGGUGGCAGUCGGUAGAAUGAACCACGGGGAAUGACUUAGAGAAAACACCCUCUCUGCCUUGUGUACAACCAGAACAUGGAGAGAUAAGGAGGGACAGCAGGUCAGUGAGGAGCGGCUCUUUACUGGGUACUUUUUCUAGUCAGGGCAUCUGGGCCUCCCCAGCACCUCUAUCCCUCAGGAGUGGUCCUUUAUGAUGUUACAGCUCCCCAGAGCCACCAUUGGCUGUCAGGAGUGUCCUGAUGACCAAACAAAGCAGAGCAGGUGUGACUCCUCAUUGUCCUGGGGAGAGGUAUAUAUACAGAGGGCAGCCCUGGCAGACAGCUAGACAACUGAGUGGCUUCAGCAUGGCAAAAGUGACCGAUAAAUCUUGGGAGCCAAAAACUACAAGCACCAGGCGGUGGAAGAAAAGGAAGGCCCUCUCUCAGCCUGGAUCACGAGGCCAGGUGGUGAAGAUAUAUAAGAAGGUAAAAAGACCACUUCAUGUGUGUUCAAGAAAAAAGUACUCCCCAAAAGUUAUAACUAUGAGAAGACAAAAGAGAACAAGAAGGGCCAAGCUUCAGCCAGUCCCAUAGACUGAGCCAAAAGCAGCCAGGCCAGGCCUAACAGCCCCUGUAGAACAACACCACUCUGAGAUAAGACCUAAGCAAACAGCGCCUGCAGAGCAAGCUUCAGAGACCUGAGAACAGUCUGCUAUAUCUAGAGUCCUGGCUGCGGAGAAAUGGCCAACUGCAUAGACACUGGCUCAGACACUGACGUGAAACAUGGGACACAAAUGCUGGUUAUUAAAAUCAGCAGGGUGUGAGAAGCCCCUCAGAAAAAGGCAAUAAAACUAGGCACUCUGUGCAGAAA